Molecule: non-coding RNA, 258 nt
Organism: Paramuricea clavata
Lineage: Eukaryota; Metazoa; Cnidaria; Anthozoa; Malacalcyonacea; Plexauridae
Source: the annotation of a GenBank genome assembly
GUUCGAAAAUGUUAGUUGCCGUGAAAAUAUUUCAGUUCCACGAGAUGCUUAAUGAAAGUGAACGAUAUCGGGUCACGGCAAACGGCCUAAAAGAAAAAAUAUACUUUUUAGCAACGAAAUAUGUAAACAAACCGAGCGAACAAUUUGCUAAAUGUUGACAGUAAAAUAAAUGUACAAUCCAAUAUAAAAACAAAUAAAAUAAACUCUAACGAAUAUGAAAACUCAUUUGGCCUAUAUAUAGAAAAAUUUACUUCAAAC